This 445-nucleotide ribosomal RNA is filed under the name uncultured bacterium. RNAcentral describes it as "bacterial SSU rRNA". It matches the Rfam family "Bacterial small subunit ribosomal RNA", at positions 217 to 662 of the family's 1533-position model. The record is from RNAcentral.
GGUAUGGGAUGAGCUUGCGUCCGAUUAGCUAGUUGGCGGGGCAACGGCCCACCAAGGCGACGAUCGGUAGCCGGCCUGAGAGGGUGAUCGGCCACAUUGGGACUGAGAUACGGCCCAGACUCCUACGGGAGGCAGCAGUAGGGAAUAUUGCACAAUGGGGGAAACCCUGAUGCAGCAACGCCACGUGUGGGAAGAAGCAUUUCGGUGUGUAAACCACUGUCGUGAGGGAAUAAACUCGCUUUUCGGAGCGACUGAAUGUACCUCGAGAGGAAGCACCGGCAAACUUCGUGCCAGCAGCCGCGGUAAUACGAGGGGUGCAAGCGUUGUUCGGUAUCACUGGGCGUAAAGGGAGCGUAGGCGGAAGCGCAAGCGGACUGUACAAUACCGGGGCCCAACCCCGGACCUGCAGUUCGGACUGCGUUUCUUGGAUAGUUCAGGGGCAGGC